UGGGGAAUAUUGGACAAUGGGGGCAACCCUGAUCCAGCAAUGCCGCGUGAGUGAUGAAGGCCUUCGGGUUGUAAAGCUCUUUCGCCCACGACGAUGAUGACGGUAGUGGGAGAAGAAGCCCCGGCUAACUUCGUGCCAGCAGCCGCGGUAAUACGAAGGGGGCUAGCGUUGUUCGGAGUUACUGGGCGUAAAGGGCGCGUAGGCGGCUGUCCAAGUCAGGUGUGAAAGCCCGGGGCUCAACCCCGGAAAUGCACUUGAGACUGGGCGGCUUGAGGACGGGAGAGGAUAGUGGAAUUCCCAGUGUAGAGGUGAAAUUCGUAGAUAUUGGGAAGAACACCGGUGGCGAAGGCGGCUAUCUGGACCGUUUCUGACGCUGAGGCGCGAAAGCGUGGGGAGCAAACAGGAUUAGAUACCCCCGUAGUCC
This 424-nucleotide ribosomal RNA is filed under the name uncultured bacterium. RNAcentral describes it as "bacterial SSU rRNA". It matches the Rfam family "Bacterial small subunit ribosomal RNA", at positions 355 to 796 of the family's 1533-position model. The record is from RNAcentral.